Molecule: long non-coding RNA, 1042 nt
Filed under: Marmota monax (woodchuck)
Lineage: Eukaryota; Metazoa; Chordata; Mammalia; Rodentia; Sciuridae
Source: RNAcentral
AUGAGCUUUCCUUCUCCAGGUUUCCCUCCUAUUUUGUAGUGAAGAUUGGGAAAACCUUCUGGCAUAAAGAAUGUGCAUGCACUGGGGAUGCAGGGAAUGUGCAUAGCUGCUAUUGGGAGGAUAUGGAGAAGAGGAUUUCUAAUGACUUCUCUGUCUCUUGGCAUGAUCCAAACAGUGAUUUUUGUAAUGAUGAACCUGCAUUGACAGCAUAUGGGUUUUUGCGCCCCCCCCCAAAAAAAAAAAAAACCCAGAGCAAUUUAUUUUUAGGGUUAGUCUCAGCUGCUUCCAUUUCCAGAAAUCAAAGUUACAUAAUGCUUGGCAUACAUAAUGCACAUUGCCUUAAACUGGAGGAGAGCAUGAAUGUGUGACCUUUGAAACAACAUAUGCAAUGUCAAUGACAGUACAUGAUCUAAAAAGAAAAUAAUCAACUGAAUGUCACUUCUAGAUUGGACUUUUAAUCCUGGGGACCUUUAAUCAUGAAUGAUCCUCUGGGACUUUUGGUCUGGUGGCUUUCCCCUGUCUCCUCUUAAAAGAGGUACUAUCCCAUUAAUUAAAAAAGAUAACCGUCUGCCAGUGCUGCUCCCCAGCAUGAUCUCAAACUUUGGUCCUGGGACAAGAUCUUUUACUUUUCUUGUUAAAUCAGUAAAGAGAUCUGGAAAAGGUAAUACCUUAAAGAAAUAGACUUUUAGAAGUAUUUGCUCUGAAAAAAAAUUUUUUUUUCCUUACUACUUGUCUACCCUUAGUCAAGUCCACUUCUGGCUCCAAUUGGUGCUUGUCCCAUGUACACCAGAGUUCCAUUCUUUUGGUACUGGGGAUUGAACCCAGGGGUACUUGACCAUUAAGCUAUAUCCACAGUCCUUUUUUAUUUUUUAUUUUGAGACGGGGCCUUCCUAAAUUGCCGAGGCUGGCCUUGAGCUUUCAAUCCUCCUACCUCAGCCCCCAGAGUUGCUGGGAUUACAGGUAUGUGCCACCAUGCUGGGACACCAGAGUUCUUGCUGGAAAAAAAUGAUCUAAUAAACACUGAAAUGGAAAUCCAACUACA